UACGUAGGGGGCGAGCGUUGUCCGGAGUUACUGGGCGUAAAGCGCACGCAGGCGGUCUGCUAAGUUUGGAGUGACAGUUGGUGGCUUAACUGCCAAAGUGCUUCGAAAACUGACAGACUUGAGGGCUUCAGAGGGACACGGAAUUCCGGGUGGAGUGGUGAAAUGCGUAGAGAUCCGGAGGAACACCAAAGGCGAAGGCAGUGUCCUGGGGAGUACCUGACGCUCAGGUGCGAAAGCCAGGGGAGCGCACGGG
This 253-nucleotide ribosomal RNA is filed under the name uncultured bacterium. Its description in RNAcentral is "partial 16S ribosomal RNA". It matches the Rfam family "Bacterial small subunit ribosomal RNA", at positions 524 to 776 of the family's 1533-position model. The record is from RNAcentral.